Molecule: ribosomal RNA, 514 nt
Filed under: uncultured eukaryote
Lineage: Eukaryota
Description: SSU rRNA
Rfam family: Eukaryotic small subunit ribosomal RNA
Source: RNAcentral
CACGGGUAACGGAGAAUUAGGGUUCGAUUCCGGAGAGGGAGCCUGAGAAACGGCUACCACAUCUACGGAAGGCAGCAGGCGCGUAAAUUACCCAAUCCUGAUUCAGGGAGGUAGUGACAAGAAAUAACAACUCGGGGCCUCACGGCUUACGAGAUUGCAAUGAGAACAAUUUAAAUCUCUUAGCGAGGAACAAUUGGAGGGCAAGUCUGGUGCCAGCAGCCGCGGUAAUUCCAGCUCCAAUAGCGUAUAUUAAAGUUGUUGCAGUUAAAAAGCUCGUAGUUGAAUUUCUGAUUAUGGAUGUAGCGGUUUCCGUUACAUUUGUAGUCAUCCACAUGAGAACCUUUCUCGGCCUUCACUGGUCGGUUGGGGGAUCAUGUACUUUACUUUGAAAAAAUCAGAGUGUUUCAGGCAGGCGUUUGCAUGAAUACACAAGCAUGGAAUAAUGGAAUAGGACUAGGGUCCAUUUUUAUUGGUUAUUGGACCAUAGUAAUGAUUAAUAGGGACAGUUGGGGGC